This 466-nucleotide ribosomal RNA is filed under the name uncultured bacterium. RNAcentral's name for it is "partial 16S ribosomal RNA". It matches the Rfam family "Bacterial small subunit ribosomal RNA", at positions 28 to 507 of the family's 1533-position model. The record is from RNAcentral.
GAUGAACGCUGGCGGCGCGCCUAACACAUGCAAGUCGAACGAUUAAAGCACCUUCGGGUGUGUAUAAAGUGGCGAACGGCUGAGUAACACGUGGGCAACCUGCCCCUCUCAUUGGGAUAGCCACGGGAAACCGUGGAUAAUACCGAAUACUUCGGGACUUCCGCAUGGAAGACUCGAGAAAGCUCCGGCGGAGAGGGAUGGGCCCGCGGCCUGUUAGCUUGUUGGUGGGGUAAUGGCCUACCAAGGCAAUGAUGGGUAGCUGGGUUGAGAGACCGACCAGCCAGAUUGGGACUGAGACACGGCCCAGACUCCUACGGGAGGCAGCAGUGGGGAAUCUUGCACAAUGGGCGAAAGCCUGAUGCAGCGACGCCGCGUGCGGGAUGAAGGCCUUCGGGUUGUAAACCGCUUUCAGCAGGGACGAGGCGAAAGUGACGGUACCUGCAGAAGAAGCCCCGGCUACUACGUG